This is a long non-coding RNA of Haliotis rubra (blacklip abalone), 117 nucleotides long. RefSeq lists it as uncharacterized. The transcript is spliced from 3 exons. NCBI's taxonomy places the organism in Eukaryota, Metazoa, Mollusca, Gastropoda, Lepetellida, Haliotidae. The record is from RefSeq and is a predicted model, not a curated record.
UAGAUCAAGAGUGUGCUCGGGUUCUCCACCGGCAGCACAGCCCUUCUGACACUCUGGGUAAUGCAGAAGGCUGCAGUGUUGGGGAGUCUACAUAUUCUCCGUUCUUGGUGGGUUCGA